This 780-nucleotide ribosomal RNA is filed under the name uncultured bacterium. RNAcentral describes it as "bacterial SSU rRNA". It matches the Rfam family "Bacterial small subunit ribosomal RNA", at positions 28 to 809 of the family's 1533-position model. The record is from RNAcentral.
GAUGAACGCUGGCGGCGUGCCUAACACAUGCAAGUCGAACGGAGCUGCUUUGAUGAAGUUUUCGGAUGGAUUUAAAACAGCUUAGUGGCGGACGGGUGAGUAACGCGUGGGUAACCUGCCUCACACUGGGGGAUAACAGUUAGAAAUAGCUGCUAAUACCGCAUAAGCGCACGGUUCCGCAUGGAACAGUGUGAAAAACUCCGGUGGUGUGAGAUGGACCCGCGUCUGAUUAGCCAGUUGGCGGGGUAACGGCCCACCAAAGCGACGAUCAGUAGCCGGCCUGAGAGGGUGAACGGCCACAUUGGGACUGAGACACGGCCCAAACUCCUACGGGAGGCAGCAGUGGGGAAUAUUGCACAAUGGGGGAAACCCUGAUGCAGCGACGCCGCGUGAGUGAAGAAGUAUUUCGGUAUGUAAAGCUCUAUCAGCAGGGAAGAAAGUGACGGUACCUGAAUAAGAAGCCCCGGCUAACUACGUGCCAGCAGCCGCGGUAAUACGUAGGGGGCAAGCGUUAUCCGGAUUUACUGGGUGUAAAGGGAGCGUAGACGGCAAGGCAAGUCUGAAGUGAAAGCCCGGUGCUUAACGCCGGGACUGCUUUGGAAACUGUUUAGCUGGGGUGCCGGAGAGGUAAGCGGAAUUCCUAGUGUAGCGGUGAAAUGCGUAGAUAUUAGGAAGAACACCAGUGGCGAAGGCGGCUUACUGGACGGUAACUGACGUUGAGGCUCGAAAGCGUGGGGAGCAAACAGGAAUAGAUACCCCGGUAGUCCACGCCGUAAACGA